GAUGAACGCUGGCGGCGUGCCUAAUACAUGCAAGUAGAACGCUGAAGGAAGGAGCUUGCUCUUUCCGGAUGAGUUGCGAACGGAUGAGUAACGCGUAGGUAACCUGCCUGGUAGCGGGGGAUAACUAUUGGAAACGAUAGCUAAUACCGCAUAACAGUAGAUGUUGCAUGAUAUCUACUUAAAAGGUGCAAUUGCACCACUACCAGAUGGACCUGCGUUGUAUUAGCUAGUUGGUGAGGUAACGGCUCACCAAGGCGACGAUACAUAGCCGACCUGAGAGGGUGAUCGGCCACACUGGGACUGAGACACGGCCCAGACUCCUACGGGAGGCAGCAGUAGGGAAUCUUCGGCAAUGGACGGAAGUCUGACCGAGCAACGCCGCGUGAGUGAAGAAGGUUUUCGGAUCGUAAAGCUCUGUUGUAAGAGAAGAACGAGUGUGAGAGUGGAAAGUUCACACUGUGACGGUAUCUUACCAGAAAGGGACGGCUAACUACGUG
RNAcentral lists this ribosomal RNA (497 nucleotides) under uncultured bacterium. RNAcentral's name for it is "partial 16S ribosomal RNA". It matches the Rfam family "Bacterial small subunit ribosomal RNA", at positions 28 to 507 of the family's 1533-position model. The record is from RNAcentral.